UUGUCCCUGCGAUGUUCGUGAUGUGUUGACUAUUUUAAGCCGACAAGUGUAGAUUAGGGAAUCCGGAGUUUCUGGUAAUCGUGGUUAUCAGAACAGGAUACCCACUUUAAGUUGGUGCUUUAAAACAGUCAGACACACGGCAGAGCGGGGACUUU
Molecule: non-coding RNA, 155 nt
Filed under: bacterium
Lineage: Bacteria
Also listed under: 1 other name
Description: 6S RNA
Rfam family: 6S / SsrS RNA
About the family: E. coli 6S RNA was the first non coding RNA to be sequenced, but its function was unknown until recently.
Source: RNAcentral